GACGGGGACCCGCACAAGCGGUGGAUGAUGUGGUUUAAUUCGAUGCAACGCGAAAACCUUACCCACCUUUGACAUGUACGGAAUCCUUUAGAGAUAGAGGAGUGCUCGAAAGAGAACCGUAACACAGGUGCUGCAUGGCUGUCGUCAGCUCGUGUCGUGAGAUGUUGGGUUAAGUCCCGCAACGAGCGCAACCCUUGUCAUUAGUUGCUACAUUCAGUUGGGCACUCUAAUGAGACUGCCGGUGACAAACCGGAGGAAGGUGGGGAUGACGUCAAGUCCUCAUGGCCCUUAUAGGUGGGGCUACACACGUCAUACAAUGGAUGGUACAAAGGGUCGCCAACCCGCGAGGGGGAGCCAAUCCCAUAAAGCCAUUCGUAGUCCGGAUCGCAGUCUGCAACUCGACUGCGUGAAGUCGGAAUCGCUAGUAAUCGUGGAUCAGAAUGUCACGGUGAAUACGUUCCCGGGUCUU
Molecule: ribosomal RNA, 469 nt
Filed under: uncultured Acidovorax sp.
Lineage: Bacteria; Pseudomonadati; Pseudomonadota; Betaproteobacteria; Burkholderiales; Comamonadaceae
Description: bacterial SSU rRNA
Rfam family: Bacterial small subunit ribosomal RNA
Source: RNAcentral